GCUGGGUGUGCUGGUACAUACCUAUAGUCACAGUUACUUGGGAGACUGAAGCUGAUUAAUAACUUGAAUUCCAGGAGUUCUGAGCUGCAGUGAGCUAAGCUGAUCAGGUGCCCCUACCAGGUCUGGCAGCAACAUGUGAGCCCUCAAGACCAGGGGGCUGCUAGUCUGUCUAAAGAGGGGUGAAUUGGCCCAGGCUGGAAGUGGAGCAGGUCAAAGCUCCUGUGUCAGUUGCCACAGUCAGUGGGAUUGGGUUGUCGAGUGGCUACUGCAGUUCGAACAUGAGUGCAAUGGGGAGAGA
This 298-nucleotide non-coding RNA is filed under the name Phascolarctos cinereus (koala). Lineage: Eukaryota; Metazoa; Chordata; Mammalia; Diprotodontia; Phascolarctidae. The record is from RNAcentral.